Molecule: long non-coding RNA, 539 nt
Filed under: Parus major (Great Tit)
Lineage: Eukaryota; Metazoa; Chordata; Aves; Passeriformes; Paridae
Description: lncRNA (ENSPMJG00000018584.1)
Source: RNAcentral
UUAGAGGGUGAGACACUACUGUGCAAUUGCAAUUCCCUUUAUAUGUAACAGGAUGGCUUGAGCAUCAAGAAAAUUCACUUUGUCAAAUCCUCAUACCACCUUGUUUCACAUCUUGCUGCAGCUGUAACAUGGACCUUGCUAAGUCAGUAGGAAUUGUAUGUCUGGAUGGGGUAGUCCCGUGCUGGAAUGAGUGGUUGAAUGGAUGGCUAGAAAUAGACCAAUUCGAAGGCUGAGUUUGGCCUUUUAAAGAAGUCAAAGCAGAGGCAUUUGGUUUCACUCUUGUAUUUAUAAAUAGCUAUCUAAUAGUGCAGCACAGUUUGACCGUGCAGCCCAGGGUCGGAAGGGAUUGCCUGCGUGCUUUUACCAGCUGUCAGUGUGGCAACUGUGGGGUCCCGGCUGGAGCACCCAAUUCCUGUUCUAUCCCAGGUCCGAGUCCUGUCCAGCACCAGCACCCAAUGCAGAUCUUGGAGGUAAGUGCUAAAAUGGUUGUGUUCUGGGUGAUGGCCAAAGACUCUUUAGUUAGGUCUCUGUGACCUAGG